Molecule: ribosomal RNA, 1776 nt
Filed under: Meloidogyne arenaria
Lineage: Eukaryota; Metazoa; Nematoda; Chromadorea; Rhabditida; Meloidogynidae
Description: SSU rRNA
Rfam family: Eukaryotic small subunit ribosomal RNA
Source: RNAcentral
UCUGGUUGAUCCUGCUGAACUGAUGUGUUCAUUUCAAAGAUUAAGCCAUGCAUGUAUAAGUUUAAUCGUUUUAACGAGAAACCGCGAACGGCUCAUUACAAUGGCCAUGAUUUACUUGAUCUUGAUUAUCUAAAUGGAUAACUGUGGAAAAGCUAGAGCUAAUACAUGCACCAAAGCUUUGUCCUCUCGGAAAAGCGCAUUUAUUAGAACAAAACCACGCGGCUUCGGCUGCUUCUUGUUGACUCAGAAUAACUAAGCUGACCGCAUGGCCUUGUGCCGGCGGCGUGUCUUUCAAGCGUCCACUUUAUCAACUUGACGGGAGCAUAAUCGACUCCCGUGGUGGUGACGGAUAACGGAGGAUCAGGGUUCGACUCCGGAGAAGGGGCCUGAGAAAUGGCCACUACGUCUAAGGAUGGCAGCAGGCGCGCAAAUUACCCACUCUCGGCUCGAGGAGGUAGUGACGAGAAAUAACGAGAUCGUUCUCUUUGAGGCCGGUCAUCGGAAUGGGUACAAUUUAAACCCUUUAACGAGUAUCAAGCAGAGGGCAAGUCUGGUGCCAGCAGCCGCGGUAAUUCCAGCUCUGCUAAUACAUAGAAUUAUUGCUGCGGUUAAAAAGCUCGUAGUUGGAUUCGUAUCGGUACCCUGGAACCCUCCGGGUGUUUCUGGGUGUUAUCGAUUUAUCGUAAUGUUCGGUUUUGAGUCCUUAACGGGAUUCUUAACAGGCAUUGCAAGUUUACUUUGAACAAAUCAGAGUGCUUCAAACAGGCGUUUUUGCUUGAAUGAUCGUGCAUGGAAUAAUAGAAAACGAUUUCGGUUCAGUUUUAUUGGUUUUACGGACUGAGAUAAUGGUUAACAGAGACAAACGGGGGCAUUUGUAUGGCCCGUGAGAGGUGAAAUUCUUGGACCGUGGCCAGACAAACUACAGCGAAAGCAUUUGCCAAGAAUGUCUUCAUUAAUCAAGAACGAAAGUCAGAGGUUCGAAGGCGAUCAGAUACCGCCCUAGUUCUGACCGUAAACGAUGCCAACUAGCGAUCCGCCGAUGGAAAUUAUAUUGCCUUUGUGGGGAGCUUCCCGGAAACGAAAGUCUUCCGGUUCCGGGGGAAGUAUGGUUGCAAAGCUGAAACUUAAAGGAAUUGACGGAAGGGCACCACCAGGAGUGGAGCCUGCGGCUUAAUUUGACUCAACACGGGGAAACUCACCCGGCCCGGACACUGUGAGGAUUGACAGAUUGAUAGCUUUUUCAUGAUUCAGUGGAUGGUGGUGCAUGGCCGUUCUUAGUUCGUGGAGUGAUUUGUCUGGUUUAUUCCGAUAACGAGCGAGACUCUAACCUACUAAAUAGCUGGUACAUAAUUUAAGUGUAUACAGCUUCUUAGAGGGAUUUGCGGUGUUCAGCCGAAAGAAAUUGAGCAAUAACAGGUCUGUGAUGCCCUUAGAUGUCCGGGGCUGCACGCGCGCUACACUGGCAAAAUCAACGUGCUUGUCCUACCCCGAAAGGGGCGGGUAAACCAUUGAAAAUUUGCCGUGAUUGGGAUCGGAAAUUGCAAUUAUUUACCGUGAACGAGGAAUUCCAAGUAAGUGCGAGUCAUCAGCUCGCGUUGAUUACGUCCCUGCCCUUUGUACACACCGCCCGUCGCUGCCCGGGACUGAGCCAUUUCGAGAAAUUUGGGGACCGUUGAUUUAAUUUUUCUAAAUUACUUUGAUGGAAACCAAUUUAAUCGCAGUGGCUUGAACCGGGCAAAAGUCGUAACAAGGUAGCUGUAGGUGAACCUGCUGCUG